UAGCGUAUAUUAAAGUUGUUGCAGUUAAAAAGCUCGUAGUUGAAUUUCGGGAUCAAUACGUCGGUCGUGCCUUCGGUACGUACUGUCGUCAUUGGUUUCUCCCUUCUGACGAACCAUGAUGUCAUUAAUUUGGUGUUAUGGGGAGUUAGGACUGUUACUUUGAAAAAAUUAGAGUGUUUAAAGCAGGCAA
Molecule: ribosomal RNA, 190 nt
Filed under: uncultured Glomus
Lineage: Eukaryota; Fungi; Glomeromycota; Glomeromycetes; Glomerales; Glomeraceae
Description: partial 18S ribosomal RNA
Rfam family: Eukaryotic small subunit ribosomal RNA
Source: RNAcentral